Long non-coding RNA from Aedes aegypti (yellow fever mosquito), 1022 nucleotides. RefSeq lists it as uncharacterized. The record is from RefSeq and is a predicted model, not a curated record. Lineage: Eukaryota; Metazoa; Arthropoda; Insecta; Diptera; Culicidae. The transcript has 2 exons.
UCACCUUAACUGAGCGGAAUCUGGUGCACUGAUGGUAUUCUGUUUAUAGAGAUUUUAUAGCAAUUUGUAAAAUUGAGAGUCCCUUCUCUACCAAAGUUUUCUUUUCUAAAGUUUUUGAUAUUUUUUUUAUGUUUUUAUUUCAGCUCAUGAUGCUGUUUUCCUGAAAUCCUUACGUGAUUCCUCUUGCUUAGGCAACAUUCGGGGUCCCCUACAAGAGAUUUGACCUGGGUCCUCCAAAGUUCAAAUCCGACACUUGCUGUCUGUAUGAUCGAUAACCUUAAUUUUGGCAAUCUAAUGGUAGUAUACUCAGACCUAAAGAUUUGCCUCAUAACAACCCAGAGACAUCAUCGCGCAGAUAACCCGAAAUUUUUUUUCGGUCAACCGUCUCAAGUUAUCUGGUGCCAAGCCGUAAUGUAACACACACAGAGACCCCGAGGUACCCUAGGCGAAGAUUGGUUUAUGUUGUCGGUAUAUCACUACAUGUAACUGUUAUUUUUAAUCUUAUUUCUUCUGUUUUAUCUAGCAUGGAUCGAAAGCUUCAAAUGAACACAAUGAGAUAUCAUCGCGCAAGGAGAUCCAAGUUAGUGCGAAUGACGAUACUCCACUUUACGCAUACAGACGACUUGAGGACAGGACAGUUUUCUAACCGUUUUCAUGUUUGAGUUUGCAAUGUUUGCGGUUUACUUUUGUUCAAUAAUUUCUUACUGUUAAGGUUAAGUUCAUGUUUCUUUCAAUAUUUUUUUUCAUACAGUUAUGUUAAAAACUUGCAGACUUACAUCUUCAAAUAUAUAUUGUAAUAUUUUUUGUUGUUGUUUUUCUUUCAAUAUAUAGAUGUACGUGUAUGUGUAAUGUGUGUAUAUAUAAUUUAUUCUUAUCUGUGUAUAUAUGUAUAUAGAACUUUUAAAUAUGUAUUUCCUUAUGGUUCAAUUAAUCUACUUAUGUUCUGAAUUUAUCUUUUAAAAAAGUGUAAAUUUUAUAUGUGUCUGUGUAAAUUGUUUGCGUUUUCGAAUGCAUGUUCAAAA